UCGUUGAACCACUCAUCUUUUUGCCGUUCUUUUUUUCCUUUUUCUUUCUCUC
RNAcentral lists this non-coding RNA (52 nucleotides) under Fragilariopsis kerguelensis. The record is from RNAcentral. Lineage: Eukaryota; Bacillariophyta; Bacillariophyceae; Bacillariales; Bacillariaceae.